Molecule: long non-coding RNA, 608 nt
Organism: Papaver somniferum (opium poppy)
Lineage: Eukaryota; Viridiplantae; Streptophyta; Magnoliopsida; Ranunculales; Papaveraceae
Exons: 3
Source: RefSeq, a predicted model, not a curated record
UUAAACUCGAAGAUUUUUGGUUGCUUUGGAUAUAAAAAGGAGUCUUGAGAUUCAGAGGGGGGGGAGGCUGCAGAGCUGAGGCCUGAGUAACGGAAGUUGCAGAAGUCAUUCCUGCACUUUCGGGCGAACAAGAAGACGAGGAAUAGAUCACUGUUUAGAACAGAAUUUUGUUUCAGGUACCUUUUUGAGGAUGAUGACUCUUUCUCAGGAGACAUCACCUAAGAUGACACUGGCGGAAUAUACGCGUAGAAGUUCAAAUUAUCAAGAAACCUCAUCUUAGAUGAAGCUUGGUGAAUAUAUGCAUAGGCAACAAUAUGGAUUUUUUCUCCACAAAUGAAAGUGCGAGCGAAUUUGAUCACGGGGAGUAAAAUUAGCUAGAUUGGAAGCUAUAUAAGGUGGAAGAUAUCAUUUGUGCUACAAGAAUUAAAUUUUGUCAGAUAUGAGUCCAAGUGACGACAUCAUUAUUUUCUCUCUCAACGAAUUAAUCACCGAAAUACUUUGUUUAUCUCACAUGUAAAAUAUAUUUUAUGUGAUGUGGAGCUUUAUUGGAAAGUGAGUGGUAUUAAGAAAAUGAGAAAAUGUCAACAUUAAAGGAUAAACAAAUAACU